This 253-nucleotide ribosomal RNA is filed under the name uncultured prokaryote. RNAcentral describes it as "partial 16S ribosomal RNA". It matches the Rfam family "Bacterial small subunit ribosomal RNA", at positions 525 to 777 of the family's 1533-position model. The record is from RNAcentral.
ACGAAGGGGGCUAGCGUUGUUCGGAAUUACUGGGCGUAAAGCGCACGUAGGCUGAUAGUUAAGUGAGGGGUGAAAUCCCGAGGCUCAACCUCGGAACUGCCUUUCAUACUGGCUGUCUCGAGUCCGGAAGAGGUUAGUGGAAUUCCUAGUGUAGAGGUGAAAUUCGUAGAUAUUAGGAAGAACACCAGUGGCGAAGGCGGCUAACUGGUCCGGUACUGACGCUGAGGUGCGAAAGCGUGGGGAGCGAACAGGA